CCUUGUACACACCGCCCGUCACACCAUGGGAGUGGGUUUCACCAGAAGUAGGUAGUCUAACCGCAAGGAGGGCGCUUACCACGGUGGGAUUCAUGACUGGGGUG
This 104-nucleotide ribosomal RNA is filed under the name uncultured bacterium. RNAcentral describes it as "partial 16S ribosomal RNA". It matches the Rfam family "Bacterial small subunit ribosomal RNA", at positions 1379 to 1482 of the family's 1533-position model. The record is from RNAcentral.